UUACUUACCUGGCAGGUGCUUCACCCAGAGCCAGACUCGAUCAUUGCACUGAGGUUGUGCUGACCCCUGCAAAUUCCCCAAAUGUGGAAAUAUCGACUGCAUAAUUUCUGCUGUUGGGGAACUGUGUUAGCAAACUCCCCUG
Molecule: small nuclear RNA, 142 nt
Organism: Salarias fasciatus (jewelled blenny)
Lineage: Eukaryota; Metazoa; Chordata; Actinopteri; Blenniiformes; Blenniidae
Gene: U1
Rfam family: U1 spliceosomal RNA
About the family: U1 is a small nuclear RNA (snRNA) component of the spliceosome (involved in pre-mRNA splicing). Its 5' end forms complementary base pairs with the 5' splice junction, thus defining the 5' donor site of an intron.
Source: Ensembl